Molecule: ribosomal RNA, 492 nt
Filed under: uncultured bacterium
Lineage: Bacteria
Description: partial 16S ribosomal RNA
Rfam family: Bacterial small subunit ribosomal RNA
Source: RNAcentral
AUUGAACGCUGGCGGCAUGCUUUACACAUGCAAGUCGAACGGUAACAGGCCUUCGGGUGCUGACGAGUGGCGAACGGGUGAGUAAUGCAUCGGAACGUACCCAGAGGUGGGGGAUAACGCAGCGAAAGCUGUGCUAAUACCGCAUGUGAUCUGAGGAUGAAAGCGGGGGACCGAGCAGCAAUGUUUGGCCUCGCGCCUUUGGAGCGGCCGAUGUCGGAUUAGCUAGUUGGUGGGGUAAAGGCCUACCAAGGCGACGAUCCGUAGCUGGUCUGAGAGGACGACCAGCCACACUGGGACUGGGACACGGCCCAGACUCCUGAGGGAGGCAGCAGUGGGGAAUGUUGGACAAUGGGCGCAAGCCUGAUCCAGCAAUGCCGCGUGCGGGAAGAAGGCCUUCGGGUUGUAAACCGCUUUUGGCAGGAACGAAACGGUGUCCGCUAAUACCGGGCGCUAAUGACGGUACCUGCAGAAUAAGCACCGGCUAACUACGUG